UUUCCUGGUGACUUCUAACUCC
Molecule: non-coding RNA, 22 nt
Filed under: Arabidopsis thaliana (thale cress)
Lineage: Eukaryota; Viridiplantae; Streptophyta; Magnoliopsida; Brassicales; Brassicaceae
Source: RNAcentral